This 495-nucleotide ribosomal RNA is filed under the name uncultured bacterium. RNAcentral's name for it is "bacterial SSU rRNA". It matches the Rfam family "Bacterial small subunit ribosomal RNA", at positions 33 to 507 of the family's 1533-position model. The record is from RNAcentral.
ACGCUGGCGGCGUGCCUAACACAUGCAAGUCGAACGGGGAUGUAGUAGAGAAUCAUCUUUAGUACAUCCUAGUGGCGGACGGGUGAGUAACGCGUGGGCAACCUGCCUUGUACAGGGGGAGUAACACCGGGAAACCGGUGCUAAUACCGCAUAACGUAUGAGUAUGGCAUCAUACACAUACCAAAGGAGUAAAAUCUGGUACAAGAUGGGCCCGCGUCCGAUUAGCUAGUUGGUGAGGUAACGGCCCACCAAGGCGACGAUCGGUAGCGGGUCUGAGAGGAUGAUCCGCCACACUGGGACUGAGACACGGCCCAGACUCCUACGGGAGGCAGCAGUGGGGAAUUUUGGACAAUGGGCGCAAGCCUGAUCCAGCCAUGCCGCGUGAGUGAAGAAGGCCUUCGGGUUGUAAAGCUCUUUCGGCCGGGAAGAAAUCGUGGUCUCUAACAUAGGCCAUGGAUGACGGUACCGGACUAAGAAGCACCGGCUAACUACGUG